Molecule: long non-coding RNA, 1592 nt
Filed under: Lingula anatina
Lineage: Eukaryota; Metazoa; Brachiopoda; Lingulata; Lingulida; Lingulidae
Description: uncharacterized LOC106156219
Source: RNAcentral
GUCGGGGUUUCAAUCCAGUAGAGUGACCUGUAGCAAAGGACGAUAUUGUACAUGCCCAAGUGAGUAUACUAGAUGGGGUUGCUCUUGCUAUAAACUCAAUGCUACACAGAUAAUUUUCGACGCUGCUCGAGCACAUUGCCGUUCGGAAUCACCACUAUCUGAUAUAGUUUCCAUCAAUAGCGCUGAAGAAACUGUAUUCUUACAGCAGCUGGUGCAGUCAUCCGGUGGUAGGGUCCAUCAAUUCGUUUGGCACGACGCUUAUAACUACGAUGGCGACAACCAGAAUUACGUCCACUCCAGUAAAGGGAACGCGACAUUAAGUUACACCAACUGGGCACUCCAUGAACCAAACCUCGCCUCGGAGCUUUGCGUUGGCUUCAAACCAGCAGACAGCGGACAGUGGAGCGACAUCCCUUGUGAUUGGGAAGUAGUGCAAACCAUUUGUGAAAUCGACCAAAGCGGCCUUGGCUGUAGAUGCCCAGAAAUUUAAAGUGCUGUUACCAUGGCAACCGAGCGUGAUGCAAACAAACCAUUAUGUUGGUUUGCGGCUGUAAUGUACAAUAAUUUUCAGCAAAAUCUGAGAGGGUCAUGUGCCACCCUAUUCUGAACCUUUCAGAGACUGGCACUUAAAACAAUUGAUAUUGCAAUAAUAAGGAAAACUCUUUUGUUUUGAUUAAAUACCUGCGUACUGUUUUUAAAAACUAUGUCAUAGAUUGAAACUUUUGAAGACAAUUUUGGUUAUUCUACUUUUGCUUUUAUCAAAAGGAGUAUUGAAAUUAAAUAAUUUUUCACAGUAUUCUAAAUCUAUUACGCAUGAUACUGAAUCAAAUAAUUGAAUCAAAAAUUGAAUGAGCUAUGAAAUGUCCGUCCUAUUUUGCUCACUUCAUAUAUCAAUAACAGUGUUUAUAGCUUUUAUGCAUGAUUUUGAAUCAAGUAUGAAACGACCACAAAGAGUUAUGAAAUGUUCAUCCUAUUUUGCUAACGCCAUACAUGUAUAUCUAUGCCUGCUAUAAUGUAUUUAUGUAAUUUAGUGGACUUAGAUGUUAAAUCUUUUUGUCCCUGUUUGCAUACGCCAUACUUGUGAUAACUGCUAUAAUAUAUAUAUUUUUUUUAUUUUAAAAAAUGUCCGUCCCAAUUUUUUAUACGCUAUUUAUAUCAGUGCUUGUGUUUUAGAUUGCAAGGCCAGAUAAAAUUGAUUCACGAGCAGCGACUCUCUAGACGAAGUGGGCAAAUGACAACUAUUUAUGUUUUUUUUUAAUAUAUGAAGUUGAACGGACUGCUGAGCAGUUAAAUUUCAAGGUCGAUCGGUGUUUUUCAUUUUAAUUUAAGGGGUGGUAAUGUCAAAUCCACAGUGCUGGUGAUUUUAAAGAUUAAAUACAACUGUAUUUAAGUUUUUCCUUGGUUUGUUUGUACAUUUAACCCACUUCCCAAAGUAAUACUCAAUGUACUUUUCUCCAUUUAGAAAAAAAAUAUAGGUACGAAAAAAAUCUGGUUUUCUCAAAAUACAGGUCGGUCGCGCUAGUUAUCAGUUUUAUCAGUUUUGUGACCUGGCCCCGGUUUCACAAAAAAAAUUAAGUCAGGUUCCCUGGCUA